CGCCCAAAACAACAUCGGUCCACCCACUAAGUCUACAGAAGGGAGCCAAGAUAGUAGAAAAAAUGCAGGAAAUAACUCAACCGCUACAAGUCACUACACUAUCAUGCUCUACACUAACCAACUGUAGGACAUGUCAAAUCUGACCCAAUCCAAUCGGGACUGUAAACAUACCCGUCCCUGGGACUGUGAAUACACCCGUCCCUGCCCCGUUGUGACUAUCGGGCUCUAUCCACACUAACUGGUCCGUGGAGAGCAAGUCCAACUGGCAUGAGCGACACCAACGUGAAAGCACAAAGCCUGACUCCGGAGUGGCACUCGUGGGCGCUACCCAACCGAGUAUGCAGCGUAUCUCUGUCGAGCUCAAUCAGGCUUUGUCAAGCCAAAGUCCAAGUAACUGACUCAACCUGGUCUAACAACCAACAAGUAACGUGCCCUCGGUACAAUCUGACGCCAAAAAGGCGAUAUGGGUCCACCGUCAACUCUGACGGCACCCAACAGUCCGGAACAACCAGAACGACCCUGUAAAAAUCCACUCGGCAUACCAGCACGGGCGUAUAAGUAUUCUAAACUAUCUGGAGUACUCGUCUCAAGGAUACUGCGACAGUACAAUUUUAUAACGGCUCCUAGAGCUAAGUCAGGCACUUUAAACAAGUGGCAGGUCCAAAUCGCAGGUUUUCUCCUAAUUCAAUUUUUAAGUCCAACAUGUAUAAACUACUCAAUUUCUUACCACAUACUCCAAAUUCAGAUAUGCAAUCUACC
RNAcentral lists this long non-coding RNA (759 nucleotides) under Ananas comosus (pineapple). Its description in RNAcentral is "long non-coding RNA (ACOM_LNC033231)". The record is from RNAcentral. Lineage: Eukaryota; Viridiplantae; Streptophyta; Magnoliopsida; Poales; Bromeliaceae.